ACACCUCAACCCUCCAAUGUUUUUGCAUUGCAGGUGUUGGUAGUGAGCGCUGCCGGUCUUUGGAUCGGCUCGCUUUAAAAUCAUUAGCUGGAUCCAUUCUGACCUGGUUCUACUCGGCGUAAUAAGUUAUUAUCGUCGAGGACGCCUGGCCUUGUAGGCAGGGCGGCCACAGUAAGGGUGUUUGAACCGCUUCCAACACGUCUUGCUCUUGUAGCAAACACUUGAAC
This 227-nucleotide unclassified non-coding RNA is filed under the name uncultured Geminibasidium. RNAcentral describes it as "sequence contains ITS2". Lineage: Eukaryota; Fungi; Basidiomycota; Geminibasidiomycetes; Geminibasidiales; Geminibasidiaceae. The record is from RNAcentral.